This 429-nucleotide ribosomal RNA is filed under the name Gemmatimonadota bacterium. RNAcentral describes it as "Gemmatimonadetes bacterium partial 16S ribosomal RNA". It matches the Rfam family "Bacterial small subunit ribosomal RNA", at positions 355 to 776 of the family's 1533-position model. Lineage: Bacteria; Pseudomonadati; Gemmatimonadota. The record is from RNAcentral.
UAGGGAAUCUUCGGCAAUGGACGAAAGUCUGACCGAGCAACGCCGCGUGAGUGAAGAAGGUUUUCGGAUCGUAAAACUCUGUUGUUAGAGAAGAACAAGGACGUUAGUAACUGAACGUCCCCUGACGGUAUCUAACCAGAAAGCCACGGCUAACUACGUGCCAGCAGCCGCGGUAAUACGUAGGUGGCAAGCGUUGUCCGGAUUUAUUGGGCGUAAAGCGAGCGCAGGCGGUUUCUUAAGUCUGAUGUGAAAGCCCCCGGCUCAACCGGGGAGGGUCAUUGGAAACUGGGAGACGUGGGUGCAGAAGAGGAGAGUGGAAUUCCAUGUGUAGCGGUGAAAUGCGUAGAUAUAUGGAGGAACACCAGUGGCGAAGGCGGCUCUCUGGUCUGUAACUGACGCUGAGGCUCGAAAGCGUGGGGAGCAAACAGG